Molecule: long non-coding RNA, 3511 nt
Organism: Xenopus tropicalis (tropical clawed frog)
Lineage: Eukaryota; Metazoa; Chordata; Amphibia; Anura; Pipidae
Exons: 3
Source: RefSeq, a predicted model, not a curated record
UUUAAUAGAAAGGUUUACAUGAAUUGCUUCCCUGAGGUUAGCCCAAAAGAGGGCAUGUUUGCCUUUUUCCUUUGGCCAUUCAAGGAUCUGCACAUUUAUAGGACUCUGGCCAUCCAACAAGCCUUUUUGGAAACAUGACUCCCAUCUUAACAAACUCUCUCAGGUCACAGUUGCACUGAAACGGAUUUUGUCCAGCACUUAGAUAUUGAACAUAUUCACAGUUCUGGAGGAAUUCUUUUGGUGUAAAAUCCAGCAGAGUACAGACAGAUGGACAGCUUGAGAAACAUUUAUGCAGCUUCCUCUGGAUGAUCAAGGCUUUAUUACUUUCAAACUGAGUUAGUAUGUAAAUGAUAAUUGCGAAGAGGAAAUACAAGUUGUAUUCAGCAGCAUGGACUCUCAUAAUGGUGAUUAACUGCUUGCAUUGGAACCUGUAAAUGAGAUUUAAAUCAAUGCAUGAUUUUACUACUUGUUAUUAAUCAACCUUCUUAUUUCUUAUAAUUAAUUUACUAAUUAUAAUACUUUAACUACAAAUAUGUUCUUGCAGAAAAAUGAUAAUGUACAGUAUUAUUCAUGCCUCUGUUGCCACCCUAGUUUUUUUAAGCUCUGUUAAUGUUUAGAAGUAUAUGCAAAGCUAUACAUAUAUACAUAGGAAGAGCCACUGCACAACAAUGACAUAUUGGAAAGUAGCCAUAGAAUGCCCAUCUGUAUCACACCAAUGUCUGUUGCACUCUGUGUUGACCUGUGCUUACUCUAAUAUGCUCACAAUUUCAUAUCCUUACUGGCACCUUUAUACCUGACCAAAAAAUGUAUAUUUCUAAAUAUUUUAUUAGUGUUCAGGAUGCAAAAUCUAGGGAAUGGCCCUUUUAGUUUUGGUUUUAAUUUGUCAGAAUGUAUUUUCAAAGCCACUACAACCCCAAAAUACUAACCUCACUGCCUAAGGUGCCUUAGAUGUUGGAUCCCUGAAACCAAGCUACCUAAAGUGUUCAGGUCGGGCUGCUGUAGCAAAGUAACAUUUCAGAGCCUCCCGCUCCUUUAUCUAACAACAAAAAGUUGAGAGACAAAGCCACACUUCUUAAAAUCCUAAAUCCACCUCCAAACUUACCCCCUAAUUAGACACAAUAUGUUCACCUUUAUUUAACCCUAUCCUUCUGCACACACUCCAGUGUUUGGCUAACACAAUAUAUGUGUUAAACCUACACACCUCUCAUCUCCAACCCCAUUAUACACACCAUCAGUACAAUUAUAUAACCUCACAAAUUAUAUAUCCCUACAAUUCCUAUCAUAAAAAAAAAGUUAUACAAACACAAACAUGGAACUGGUCAUUUAAGAUUAUUAUUACAAAUAGUGGAUUUAUAUUGACUUAUCCUGUACGAUCUAUCUGAAUAUGGAUGCGUAACAUAAGAAGUUGUAACAACAAGGAAACAUUCCUUUACGUACCAGUGCUAGAGUUAACUGUUGUAGAAUCCUUACAGUUCCCUCAUCUCACCUAUAAAACACGGGGGAUUCUUAAAUUCCUCAAUUAGUGAAUAAGAUCUUCCUAAUAUUCCCCAAUGUUUUUUAAUGACAUGUUGUAAUCUUACGCAUUACAGGAUUAAAUGUAUGCACAAACAGGAUAUGUUUAGAAUUAAAGCCUGGAACCAGUCAAUAAAGAUGUUCGAUCUGUCUGCCUUACUAUUUAUAUUAUUCACUCUAAAGUAGCUCUGAUGGAUACCCUCACUAUAUAACCUUUGGGUCAUCUCAUUCAAUCUCAAUUUCAAUGUUUCUUCCUCAGUUACUUAUAGAAAGAGUACAUGUUUGAGGAUGUGCAGAAUUUUACAUCAAUAGAUUAUUGCGAUCAGUCCCUUUUACACACAAACCAGUAAAAAUUUUCUCAUCUUUUACAAAGGCUGUAUUUAGUUUUUGCCCCUUUGCUUCUUUAAUCUCUGGCUAACUUUCCUUGCAGUCUGGCCCUCCUAGAUUACAACACAUGGGCCAUAUAUACUGUGCCGCUAAAAGAACCAAUGUACCAACCACCACUAUGAAAAAAAAGAAUUAUGUAAUUAUAAAACAAUAUAAGCACCAUUCUAAAAUAUGGUAUUAAUGGAAGACUCAAGCCUGAAAUUUUUACACAGUUUGCAUAGUGCCACAGUAGGGUGCUUGUUAAAAUUUGUUUUUAUCCAAUAAUAAGUGCUAAAAUUUUUGAAAUGUUACAUGGGGCUAGCCAUGUUCUUCAUUUCCCAGGGUGCUACAGCCAUGUGACCUGUGUUCUGAUAAACUUUAGUCACACUUUACUGCUAUGCUGCAAGUUGUAAUUUCACGCCCCCCCUUACCAGCUAGUGUAAUGUAAACAGAACCUUGUCUGGGCAGCCUGCCAAUUGAACAAUAGGUAUCAAUUUAAAAAACUUUCAAUGACAUCUCUUCAUAAGGAUGCCUAGACUGAGAGGUUUGCCUUGUCUGCCUGCUGUUACCAGUGUUUUGCUCCACGCGCUUAGACUUUUUGAAUUGGCUAUGAGGCACUGAAACACUGGGGCUCAUUUAUCAACCCAUCACAGCACAAACCAUCGCUUUCAUGAUUAUGUGCCAUAUUGUGCGCACACGCAAUUGCAUUUGCCUUACAUUGUGUGAGUUGAUUAAUUUUUAUGCCAGUUCAAUUGUCGCACUGUGCGAUAUAACAAAUGCAACCAAAUUGAUGUAGCUGUAAUCAUCUAUGAACAUAAUUUAUGACGUUUUGUGACGUCAUAUGCACGUUUGUAUGGGGCAGCUGUUGGCCUCAAAACUAGAGCAUGAAACUUUAAGCGACCACGUUUGCGCUAUACUGUUAAAUAUGCUUAUGCGCAGGGCAAAAGUUUUGCCUCUCCGACUAUUACAGCGAUACAUUGAUAUAUAAGCCCCACUGUGUUUUGAUUGUGUUGUAGUAACAUGCAAUAUGGCGGGCACUGUCAAUGCAAGGAGCUGUGUGGGGGUGAGAUAGCAAAGGGAACACCAUUAUAAACUCUUUUCCCCUAUCUUGCAACAAGUGGCACCGGGGAGUGAAACUUCCUCGCUCCCAACUCAAUAACUGCAAAGCUGGCUGACAGAAGACUUACACAAUGGCAGGAGCUUUGGCUGCUGUGCAAGGAGGGAGUGCUGCUCAGAGGACACUGGCGAAACAGGAGAGCAGGAAGGAAUAAGAGAGAAACUGAAAGCAGUGUCUUUUCUGUACACCAUGUGACCUCUCUCCUGCUGAUGGUGUUGUAAUAGAGAACUGAGUUAUCAGAUUACCUCCAAGCGCACACGUAAUGCUGUGCUUUUAGUGCAGCACAGUAUGAGCCAAAAUAAAUACAAAUAUAACUUAUGUAUUGAUUGUGAAUUAAGGUUUUACUGUAUAUGCCAGAAAGUGUUGCAGUGUAUACAAAAAGCAAAAAAUCUGAAUCCCUUUAGUAGGGUGGGCUGAUUGAAGUUAUUGGUUUGUUUAUGUGGUCUUCUUGUAAGAGCGCUUUGUAUUUGUAGGUCAUCGACCUAACAUUGAAAAUUAAAUUCUCCUUGUACAGUC